Molecule: ribosomal RNA, 422 nt
Filed under: uncultured bacterium
Lineage: Bacteria
Description: bacterial SSU rRNA
Rfam family: Bacterial small subunit ribosomal RNA
Source: RNAcentral
UGAGGAAUAUUCCACAAUGGGCGAAAGCCUGAUGGAGCGACGCCGCGUGCGGGAAGAAGCCUUUCGGGGUGUAAACCGCUUUUAGAGGGGAUGAAACGAUGCCUUCGGGCAUCUAAGACAGUACCUUCUGAAUAAGCAUCGGCUAACUACGUGCCAGCAGCCGCGGUAAUACGUAGGAUGCUAGCGUUGUCCGGAUUUACUGGGCGUAAAGAGCGCGCAGGCGGCACCCUAAGUACUUUGUGAAAUCCACCUGCUCAACGGGUGGGGUGCAGGGUAAACUGGGGAGCUAGAGAGCGGUAGAGGGGGGUAGAAUUGCUGGUGUAGCGGUGAAAUGCGUAGAGAUCAGCAGGAAUACCCGUGGCGAAGGCGGCCCCCUGGGCCGUAUCUGACGCCGAGGCGCGAAGGCUAGGGGAGCGAACGGG